UAGCAUGGCUAUAUCUUCCAAUAGAAUCAGAGAGAUAUGGAAGAGGCCUCAAGGGCCAUAAAAUCCAACCCUCUGCCAAGCUCUCAAUGCCACUCUUCUUAAAUUCUCUACAGACAAUGCACUCCCUUAUUGGCUGCAUCUGGUGUGAACCACUCCCACUACUCCACUCUUGAAAUGCCAUUGUCAAUAGGAUCGUGGCCUAAGAUACUCUGGGGAAGCUACUGCUGAAUGCAGCUGAAGUAGUGCUUAAAUCUGGGCAUGCUGCAAUAUGCAAGAUGGCAUACAUAAGGAAAUGACUGGAGAAACUGGGCCUGUUUCACUUGAAGCUCGUGGACUUUUGUGCAAAUCUAAGUGGCUCACACAAUGGCUACACCAGUCCCACCAUUAUUCAUCUAAUUUGAGAUUAAGCAGGAACGAUGCAUACUCCAAUUCGCAUUUUUGGUGUGAACAAUCCAGACGACUCUGGCCCGUUCAGCACCGAAUCCCCUCUACAACAUUCUUAAAAUGUAUUUUUAAAAGCUACCUUUUGCUCCGGAUCUUCCCUCUGUUGUGAUGUCAAGCAGCUGGUUACAAUGCAUCCCACUGUGCUUCCCAGCGCAGCCACACAUCGCUCCCUCAGAAUGAGGGCAGAAUGAAACUGGGCAUUUUAUUUUUGGGCUCAGAAGGAGUGACACAUGGCAGCACUUGGUAUCGCAAUGGAGGGCCCCAGGUAAUGGGGCGCUGGGGCCACUCCAUGGCUAGAAUACUCUGCACUGGUCCAGGAGAUUUCUGGCCCAUGUGGAUCUGGCCUAAGACUCUGGAGAUCAUGAUUCGAUUCCUUGUUUGGUCACAAAAAUACAUUAAGUGAUCUUGGUGAGUCACAUACUCUUAACCCCAGAAAACCCCAUGAUAGGUUCAUCUUAGGAUCACCAGAAACAACUUGAAGGAAAACAACAAUUAUUAUACAAGGCGUGGAUACAAUAGGCAGGAAGUUUUUUAUCCCCCUCUCUGGAAUUCAGGGUCAUUCACUGAAAUUUUAAGAGAUUUGGAACCCAUAAAAUACUUCUUCACACACUGUAUAGUUAAAUUGUGGUUUUAACUUUCACAAGAGGUAGUGAUAGUCUGCAUCUUGAAUGCCUUUAACAGAGGACUAGACAAAUUAAAGAAACACAAGGCUAUCUGUGAGGGAUAUCUUUUCUCUCCAGUGUGAGGAGCAGUAUGCCUUUUAUUUCAGUUGCUGGGGAUCAUGAGGAACAGAGCAGGGUUGUGUCCCCUUUGCAUGCUUCCCACAGGCAACUGGCUGGCUGAACGAAAAAUACUAGACUAGCUAGAUCAGUGGUUCCCAACCUGUGGGUCAGGACCCCUUUGGGGGUCGAAUGACCCUUUCAUGAGGGUCGCCUAAGACCACUGGAAAACACCUAUUUAAUUACAGUUAUGAAGUAGCAAUGAAAAUAAUUUCAUGGGUUUGGGUCACCACAACAUGAGGAACUGUAUUAAAGGGUCACGGCAUUAGGAAGGUUGGGAACCACUGAGCUAGAUUGAUCAUGCAAUUCAGAGUCACUCUUUUGAUGUUCUUAUGAUAGAUGAUAAACAGCUUAUUAUCAAAAGAGUGAUCAUUCAGUAUAACCCUUUACAGCAUAAAUAUCCCUGCUGGUCAGUCACAGUGGCAUUACUAAUAGUAUGCUUGGUUUCUGUUGCUACUGUGGUCCCACAGCAUUUCACAGCACCCUGGCUUGAAGACAAUUAUUGUGUAUGCUUGCUAUAUUUGCAUUCUCUUGCAUAGUCAGUAAUCAGACUGUGCCAUUGCUAUGUAUGGUUGCUAUUAUGCUAUUAGGAAGACUCAGUGCAUGAUGGUUGCUGAUUGUUUUGUUGUGGUUACACUUGCUAUUAAAGAACGGCCACUG
Sceloporus undulatus (fence lizard) is the source of this 1883-nucleotide long non-coding RNA. RefSeq lists it as uncharacterized. The transcript is spliced from 3 exons. NCBI's taxonomy places the organism in Eukaryota, Metazoa, Chordata, Lepidosauria, Squamata, Phrynosomatidae. The record is from RefSeq and is a predicted model, not a curated record.